RNAcentral lists this ribosomal RNA (497 nucleotides) under uncultured bacterium. RNAcentral describes it as "partial 16S ribosomal RNA". It matches the Rfam family "Bacterial small subunit ribosomal RNA", at positions 28 to 507 of the family's 1533-position model. The record is from RNAcentral.
GACGAACGCUGGCGGCGUGCCUAAUACAUGCAAGUUGAGCGCACAGGCUUGGUACUUGUUCCUCUUACAUUAGCAGCGAACGGGUGAGUAACGCGUGGAUAAUCUACCUUUAAGCCUGGGACAACUUCUGGAAACGAAUGCUAAUACCGCAUAAUAUCUUUAACCACAUGUUUUAAUAUUGAAAGAUGCUUUUGCUUCACUCAAUGAUUAUCCCCCGUUGUCUUUGCUUGUUGGUUAGGUAAAGGCUCACCCAAGCGAUGAUACAUAACCGAACUGAGAGGGGGAUCAGCCAAAAUGGGACUGAGACACGGCCCAAAAUCCUAAGGGAGGCAGCAGGAGGGAAUCGUCGGGAAAGGAGGAAAGGCUGAACGAGCAACGCCGCGGGAGGGAAGAAGGUUAUCGGAUCGGAAAACUCUGGUUGUAAAGGAGAAAGAUGGGGGGAGUGGAAAGCGCAUGAAGUGACGGUAACUAAUCAGAAAGGGACGGCUAACUACGUG